This is a long non-coding RNA of Corapipo altera (White-ruffed manakin), 7826 nucleotides long. RefSeq lists it as uncharacterized. The transcript has 7 exons. The record is from RefSeq and is a predicted model, not a curated record. NCBI's taxonomy places the organism in Eukaryota, Metazoa, Chordata, Aves, Passeriformes, Pipridae.
UACUGGUAGGUAGCUAUAGGUCUUCUGCAAUAACAGAGUGAUCAAAUGAUGCAUGGAAGGAUUCAUGAGAACCUAUGAAGUGUGACCCUCUGGCAGACAACUCUGUCCAGUCCAAGAUCAUCUACAUCUUCAUCAUUCCUUGACAGAAAACCGUUGAAACUGUUUGGAUACUGAAUGAUGGCUACAGCCCAGUCCCUUCCUCUGGAGCUGUGGUGUGUUGUAAUCCCAUUGUAUUGGUCACCAGCAUAGGAUCCACUUCCCCAGGGAUGGAUCCCUGUCCUUGAGCCUUAACAGAUCAGUGAGGUAAGGAGAAGGAAAGGUCCCUGCCAUCAUCAAAGACAACCCCAGACUCUUCCGAGCCUUGUCCAAAAGCUUCAGUAAUUUACAGUUCCUUAUGUUCAAUCAGAACCAAAAGUUAAUGCCCGUUGGCUAAUUUCCAGUGCAUGCCUCCACAGAACAACUGCUGCCUUUAACUGGUGGAGAGAUCAAGGCUUGAACUGACAAAAGACAUCUGUAUUUUGGAAAACAAAUUAAUGUUUAUGUUUUAAUUUAUAAGUUCCUGGCUCUUUUAUGGUUCCUUUUAUGGUUUUUCAAGUAAUGUCUCUUUGGAUCCCUAGCUGAUGGAGAGUCAAAAUGGAAAAGGCCCAUGAGAGAAUUAUCACAAUAGAACAUCUGGUCUGCAUUGGAAAAAGCUGAGAAAGAUAUUCAACAUCUCUGAGACCAAGAGGCAGCUAUGAGGCAGUUUGAAAGUCAGUCUAUGAAAAAUCGUGCAGGUUGUGGCCACCUGGGCCAAUCUAGUGUUGUUCUGGGAAGAGCUACUCUGCUUCCUUGCAUCUGAAUUUUAAUGUCACUUCAGCACGGAUAUGUGAGAGCUGGGAGUGGUAUGAAAGGUGUUUGCUUUUCAUAAUGUUAAUCUGAGUCCCAGCAUUGUCCUAAUUAUAUUGUGGGUUUUUGCCAGUCUCCUAAGUUUUCUUUUGAGCAUGUAGGCUGGAGUCAAAAGGCUUUCCCAGGGUUUUGGCAUAGCUUUAUAGGAAAAUGGAUGGAAAUUACUUUGUAUAUUUUUGGAAGAAUAUUUUGCAUCCUGCUUUAAACUGUUCCAGAAGGUAAAAGGACGUUAGCUAGACUGUGUAUUGGCUCGUGUACUGGUGUGUCACUAAUGGCAAGGAGUUUUGCUUUACCUAAUUGUUCCUGUUUUCUGCAGCCACAGACUAUGAGAAAUGCAAAGAAAUAAUGGGCCAACCAGGGCAAUAAAGGCACUACUGGAUUCAGAGGGAGCAAACUCCUUCCACCACAUGAAACUUUCGUCUUUUAAGUCAUCAUAGCUCAUGCAGAACAGAAACAAUUUGACAUGUAUAACAAGAAACACUGCAAUUGUUUGCCAAACAAAGACUUAUACUGCAGAUGGAAGAACUGAUGAAAAUUGUUUAUAGAUGGGGAACUUAAUGCUGCCUGAGGACCCACUGGAAAAUCUAUGGACUUUUCUCCACAGCAAAUUUGUCUAUCGUCAAUACGUAAGUGGAUUGUCCACAGUUACACUGUGGCAGCUGCAGAGGAAGUGGAAGGUUCUCAGGAAUACAUUAGGGAGAACUGGAUUUUUGGCUUCUGAUAUAGUGUGGAGCGCCUUUGGAAACUGUGGAAGUUUAUGAGCUGGAUGUUACUGCUACAAAAGGCCUGUAUGUCCCUGAAGAGCUGAAGUGCAGAAGGCCUUGGUCAUUUCUCCCUGAAUGUGUGUGUCAGUUCUUCAGCUACUCUUGGCCACAAGGCUGUGGUUGCUUCUUGCACACCUGCCCUGCUCCCCUCAGUGCAAUACAGAUAUUUUACAUAGAGAAGAAAUUAUGCUCUAUUCUGAAGGGAAUGACAGAGCAUCUGAGAUCAUACAUUUAAGUCUCUACUUUAUAUAAACCCCAGGCAAUCAUGAACAAAACAUGCUUCAGCUCUGUUGUCUAUGCCUAGAUCUUACUAGAGGGAGGUAACUUCCAGUACUGUAAGUUCGGAGUCAGCCUGAGCAGGGCUCCGAAAUCAUCCUGCAGAUGCACAGCGUUAACCGGAAACAAUUCAGAGUGGCAGUGGUAUCCUGCAGGAUGUGUGCGACGCCUUCAGCUGUGUGUUGAUUUACACGGGGCCACAUUAUAGAUUAUACAUUCUGGUAAUUGUGGUAUUGUUAUUGCUGGGCUAUAUCUAAGCACAGGAAACACAUAUAAGCACAUUUGAAGUGAUAACAUCCACUCCUGUUUAAAGGGCAAUAUUUUAUUCUCAUACGUAAUACAGCAUUUGCAAUAAUAUAGACAAUUUCCUAACUGGUACAUAGAAGACUUUCAGGAGAAAAACCUGAUUCAUUGUGGGAGGCCCAUAACCAGCAUUUACAAAGAAAUCCACAUCAACUUUUAUUCACUUUAAUUUUAUUUUUUUCAGUAUGGACAUUAUUCCGAGAUCAAGAAGGAGACAAUACAUUGCCAUCUGAAAGCACAAGAAAGAUCAAAAUAAGUUUUCAAUGUGUCACCGAAACCACAGUGCUAGGUUUCUGUUAAGGAGAAUGAGUAAUACCAUUCUAGCUGUGAAGAAUGCUGUGAGUGGGUAAUAAUUCCAUCUAACUGAUAGGGCAGAUUUUCUGCAAGAAAAUAAAUUAUCCCAACUAAAAUCUUGCCCUAUUUCUUCAGCUCAGUAAGAAAGUCCAUUCACCAUCCCCAUUUAGCUGCUUGUCUAACAUUAGGAUAUCCUCCAUCCAACAUUCCCAACCCAGUCUUGCAAUUCAGGAACAGAUUGGCUCCAACUCUGGCCUGGACCAUAGCUAAAUCUAUAUCCAUGCUUGUAAUACUGUUGCAGAUCAAUAAUACGAUGCUAUACUGUAUAAAUUGGUUUGUUGAAAUGAUAGUUAUGAAUGAAGUUCUAAACAGACACUGCAACAUAUAAUAAAGGACUAACCUACUGACAGUUCUAAUGGGACUGUGAUUAACACAUACACAAAAUAGCCCAAAGCCCAAUGACUUGCUUCAUGAUUUCAUGAAAAACUUUUUAUUGUUUUCUAUCUGUAUUAUUUAACAUUAAAAAUACAUUUGUCUUUAUAAAUUUAUAUAAAUGCUACUGAUCUGAUAUUUUUGUGCUGACAGUCUAACACUGAACAAAAGUAUAGUUUUGUCAGACCUCAUAUGCACAAAAAUUGUUGAUGCCUUGUAAUAUGCCUUUGCAUUCUGGCAGCCUCUUCAUAAUAUUCUUUUGGAAGUGUCACCUGCUUAGGUAAGCUUUGAUUUACAAGAAAUUAUUAAGAAAUGUUUAAUUUUAAUUAUGAUCUUUACUAUUUACCUGAAUAGGAAUCUCUGUCCUUAGUUUAAACUUCUAAUAUCCUGUUUAACAAAGAAACAGCUUCAAUCGUACUAAAAGUACUUAAUGUUAAGAAAGUUUUCACAGUUGGUUGCUGGGAUUAGGGCUUUAAAAACAAAGGUCAGGUGAAGAUGCCUUCUUGGAAUACACUAGGAUACAAGCCUCUAUUUUUGUUUGUAGUUCAUAAAUCUACGUAUUACAUAAACCAGUAAUAACUUUAAUAUAAUUAAAUGUAUUUGUAUUUGUGUGAGUGACUGGAGUUGAACAGCACACCUACAUGGCUGCAGCAUAUGUGAAUCUUCCUGCAGUACAUUCUGGUGUUGGCUUCCAUUAGACAGUAAGAAAUGUUGCCUGCAAAAAUCUCUCACAACUUGAGACUAAUGUCUGUCUUCUUCACAUGGGAAAUGUAUUUCAUCACUCCCUCACAUGACAUCGAAUUCAGGUCUGUGGAAAUGAAAAUACCAGGCUCUGCACACCAUAGGAUUUGUAAUUAGCUUGAGAUAUCCAGAGAAAAUUCUGUAAGUUACUUUAUUUUGCCUUGUCUCAAAUCUGUCUGAUUUUGUUUGAGUUUAUGAGUAAUUUUUGGUGGAAAUGUCUAUGUUGCAAUUGAAAUGCUCUAACAAGUCCUCAUCACUAAAAUGCACUGAGUUCUGUUACUUCUGAGGAGCCAUGUGGAGUCCUGGAGUCCUUGUGGCUGCUGGGGAACUCAGGAGCUUCCUGGUCUCACUUGAGCCAUAUGACAGAACCCCAAAAACAACUGUGAUGUCUUUAGGUCUUAAAUAUUUGGUUUAAAUGUCUAAAAGGUAAGAGUUUCUUAAGCAUCCUGAGGCACGAGAGUUAACAGAUCAGCCUGAGCCAUGCCUCUUGCAUUUACUUCUUCAAUAAAGUUGUCAGGAUGCUGCCCAACCAGGCUGCCAGAUGUGCUCUCCACGUUUAGGGUAAGUAAUCACUUGGUCCUGGGAUCUUCUGCACAAGCUAUGCCUGAACCCACUGCAGUUAUUUUAGGUGACACACUAAAGUGGUCAGCAUAAACUGAGAAGACUUUGUCCAGCACUUUGUCAGCAUGCCAGAAGAAAUUCCUUGGGAUUCAGAGUCUAAGAUUUCAUUUCAGUUAAUUGUCAGGAUGAUGAAUAUUAUUUAUUCCACACUAAGGCUUAUUUUAAUCCAAAACACAGAUAGAUAGUGUCAAUGCAGGCAAAAUGAUAGUUCUUCCUGCACAGAAGCCCAUCUAGAUAUAAUCCAGUUUGCUCCCCUGUCUCUAAAUUUGAAGGACAACAGGAAUGGAGACUGCAGCUGGCCUGAGAUUCCCUUGCACUUGAACCUGAUCUAAUUAGGCAAGUCUAUUUUUUCACAAAAUAAAACCUUUAUAGACAACAAUAUGGUGAACUGAAAACUCCUCAAAGUUGUUAAAUUCUGUCUAGUUUGGAAAAGGAGCUGUAUCAGGCCGAUGCUCAGUGAGGCAAUGGAGCCCAGUGGGCAGAGUGCUGGACAGGGAUUGAGAAAUCUGGGUUCUUUUCCAAAAUCUCCUGACUUUUAAAUGACCUUGAGCUGUCACUUCUCUGUGCUUUGGAUUCACUGCCUGUAUGAGUAGGAUAAUAAUGCUCACAAUGGUUUCAGAGUUGCUGAAGGAAGGAUCUACAUGAACACAACACUUCGUGCACUACCCUGAGCUAGAUGCAGCUGUGGUUAGAGGUGGCCAGGAUUUGGUCAAUGCCUCGUGUAUUCCAGAAAAUCUGGGAAACUUUGAUUGUUACACAGCUUGCUUUCAGUUAUCGGUCAAAACACAUUUUUAUGUUAAAGGUCUUUCUUAUCUUUCACACCAUUACAAAAUAUCUCCAGAAAAUUUCAUAUUAUUUACUUACGCAUUAAUACUCACAGUUCAUAUCCCUGUUACUGGGAACUGCAGAGUGCCUCUCAGGAUCAUACAAAUGAUAACUUAACAUAGAUAAUGUGGUUUUGACCUAAAAAAGAGAAGUGUUUUGCAAUGUUAUAUUUAACAUAUCUGGGGGAAAAAAAUUAUCAGUUUAUGUUAUAAGGUAAUUGAAUUGGGCUUUUAGUUUGAAACAUUCUCUUUGAAACUAAAAAAAAAUUUUUUUUUUAAUUGUCAUUUUAGAUCAAUGUCUUGAUUUCACACAUUUUGGAUUAAUAUACAACUACAAGCUCUGUGCACAAAAAAAGAACAGUCUACUUUCAAAACUGCUGAAUGCUUUGACCUCAAGGGCAUAGAAACUGUUGACUCAUUGUUUUUACUGCAUAUAAUAUUAGUCCUUUGUCACAUCCAGGGAAUGACAUCAUCUUCUUCAUUGUUAGCAGCAGGUUUGAAUAACAGAAAAAGUGCAGCAUUAGUUGUCUGCUGUGUUUGUUCUUAAUAAAUGAAUGGAUAUCUGGUACCAAGACUCAGAUUAGGAUUUUUGAGUAACAUUUAGAACAAGCUUGUGCCCAAACCCUGCAAAGAGCUUUGCUUCUGGCCACCAUCUGCAGGGCAGUCAAGCUGGCAGGAGCCCGGAGCCUGCAGAGGGAACGUAGCUGAUGGUUCUGGCUUCUUGAAAGUGGUAAGAGGAGUCGGGAAAGGAAGAGAUUAAGCACAGAAUGAAACAGAUCUGUUCUUCAAGGUCAUUUUAGUAAAAGGAGUCCCUGCACUUCUGUGAAUCAUACUUCUGUGAAAUCUAAAAUCAUGAAAAGUAAUUAUCGGAAAAUAAGUCAUCUCUAGGACAUGCAAACAAAAUGGGAACUAAUUAUCUUGAAAAUGCACCAGAACAAGUAUUUCAUCUAUUCCAAAUUUGUAUUCAUGUUUAUUAGUCUUCUACUCCCUAUAACUAAAAUGUCUAUGUCCUAAUCUCAAAGAGUAAUUCCCUAUCAGAAGUAUUUGGUUACUCCUGCCUGCUUCAUGGAAGAAGGAUACAUCAUUAUGAUUACUAACCAGGCUGAUGGAGGUCUUCUUUAAGGUCAUACACCACCUUCUAUAAGGUUCUUCAGAAUUUUUUCAUGGCAGAGAAAAUUUUAAGUGUUGCUUCCUGAACAAUAAACAUUUCUAGUGGAAAAGAAUUUACUCAGGGAGAGAGUCCUCGAGAGUCUGAUCAAAUAUCAAAUUCUACCUAAUCCAUUGCCAAUUGCCUUUAUGUUUUCCCAGAAAAAUGUGAUGUCUUUAACUAUAAAAUUAUACCUUUGUGGUUCCAAAAAUAUUUGUCCUGAAGAUAAGUUCCUGUGUUGAGAGAAUGAAUCAAACUGGACUUUGAAAAGCUAAAAUCCAUAGAGCUGUGAGAGAAGCACUGAGGCAGCAGGCUGGGAAAGCUGGAGGUCAUGGGUUAAGGAUCCAGGAUUGUUGGAUCACAGAGGUCCACAUACCAAGAGUAGACGCAGACAAGGGCUACACACAAGGAAAUAUUUUCUAGAAUGCCAGAACUAAAAAAGAAUAAACAAGCCAUGCUGUAAAAGAUCAAAAUCAGACCUUGUUGACUUGGAAGCAAGAGGUCUGAUGUACUGGCCUCUUCAGAACAGACAUAACUGUACUUGUGCAGGUAGGGAGAGCUGCCUUGCACGUAGGCUUGAGCAGAUGCAUCUAUUUCAAUUCCUAUCCCAAAUGUAUAUUGCAAAUUUCAGACUUAUCUGUUAUGAGAAGUAAGAAAUGUUACACUUUUUUUCUACAUAUUUCAUAUGCUUUUGCCAUAUGAAGUCUUUCCUCAGUCUUCUGUUCCAGUCUGUGGGUCACCUUCAAUCAACAUUUCAAAAAGUCUCAAGUAGCAUGAAUUUUGGUGAGGCCAAAUCACUUGAUUUUCCCUUACCCUGUUUAGAAGAGGCUUUACUUGGAUAAAAGCAAUAGUGCCAGCCAUUUCCCUUCAUCCUUUAAAAUUACUGGCCACCUCUAAAGAACUUGGCCUCUCUUUUAUGUCACUUUCUGACAACUCAUUUGAGUUGAACAGGUUGCUGUGGCCAAAUUAAAUGCUUGGGAAAUGGACCAUACAAUUAAUUUGCAAUAGUAAGUUGUCUCAGCAUCAUUUCUCUUCCUCUCAAGGGGAAUGCUGGCUCAAGCAAAAGAAAAGAUUAACGUAAUAAAAAUAUUCUAAAGACAUCCUGUUAAUUGUCCCAAGCUCAGAUGGUAUUGUCUAUUCUUCUGUUGUGCAUAGCCAGCAAACAGUGUAAAAUCCAGAAUUCCUUCCUACAAUGAAAGCAGAGCCUUCAGUGCUACAGGAUAAUCCCUGCCUUUCUGGAAAGCAGAUGAAAAUGUGGUGUGGCAGAGCUUUGCUUUGGGUUUCAGAGGUGAGCUCAAAUUUGCUCCAUUGAUGAAUAUAAUAAUAGGACUUUUUAAUUUAGAUACAUCAGCAACUUUAACCAAGAGAAUAAAGAUUUAUGGAAAAAAGGAAAAUUGCAAACAAAGUAAGAGCAAAUUUUGGGAAAAGAAGGAAAAUUUUUUCCCUGAAUAUGCAAAAGAGAUUUCCCAUGUUUGUUUAGGGACAGAAAACACUCAAGGUUUUAAAUUCAGCCAAAAUAAAGGCUUUCAUUUACAAUCA